RNAcentral lists this ribosomal RNA (469 nucleotides) under uncultured bacterium. Its description in RNAcentral is "bacterial SSU rRNA". It matches the Rfam family "Bacterial small subunit ribosomal RNA", at positions 28 to 507 of the family's 1533-position model. The record is from RNAcentral.
GACGAACGCUAGCUACAGGCUUAACACAUGCAAGUCGAGGGGCAGCACAGUGUAGCAAUACACGGGUGGCGACCGGCGCACGGGUGCGUAACGCGUAUCCAACCUUCCCGUUACUCAGGGAUAGCCUUCCGAAAGGGAGAUUAAUACCUGAUGGUGUUCAAAUUCCGCAUGUUAUUUGAACUAAAGAUUUAUCGGUAACGGAUGGGGAUGCGUGACAUUAGGUAGAUGGCGGGGUAACGGCCCACCAUGCCUACGAUGUCUAGGGGUUCUGAGAGGAAGGUCCCCCACACUGGAACUGAGACACGGUCCAGACUCCUACGGGAGGCAGCAGUGGGGAAUAUUGGGCAAUGGGGGAAACCCUGACCCAGCAACGCCGCGUGAAGGAAGAAGGCCUUCGGGUUGUAAACUUCUUUUAGCAGGGACGAAGAACGUGACGGUACCUGCAGAAAAAGCAACGGCUAACUACGUG